GAUGAACGCUAGCUACAGGCUUAACACAUGCAAGUCGAGGGGAAACGGCAUUAAGUGCUUGCACUUUUUGGACGUCGACCGGCGCACGGGUGAGUAACGCGGAUCCAACCUUCUCAUGACUAAGGAAUAACCGGCCGAAAGGCAGACUAAUACCUUAUGGUCUUCACUGACGGCAUCAGAUGUGAAGAAAAGAUUUAUCGGUUAGGGAUGGGGAUGCGUCUGAUUAGCGUGGUGGCGGGGUAACGGCCCACCAAGGCAACGAUCAGUAUGGGUGAGGAGGGUCAGGUCCCCCGCAUCGGAACUGCGACACGGUCCACUCCCCUACGGGACGCAGCAGUGAGGAAUACUGGUCAAUCGGCCAUAGCCUGAACCAGCCACGUGGCGUGAAGAGUGACGGCCCUAUGGGUGGUCAUCUGCUUUUGAAUAAAGAUAAAGUCAAUAACGCGUGAUUGUUUGACGGUACCAUACGAAUAAGGACCGGCUAAUUCCGUG
Molecule: ribosomal RNA, 492 nt
Filed under: uncultured bacterium
Lineage: Bacteria
Description: partial 16S ribosomal RNA
Rfam family: Bacterial small subunit ribosomal RNA
Source: RNAcentral